GAUGAACGCUGGCGGCGUGCCUAAUACAUGCAAGUCGAGCGAACAGAUAAGGAGCUUGCUCCUUUGCCGUUGGCGGCGGACGGGUGAGUAACACGUGGAUAACCUACCUAUAAGACUGGGAUAACUUCGGGAAACCGGAGCUAAUACCGGAUAACAUAUUGAACCGCAUGGUUCAAUAGUGAAAGGCGGCUUUGCUGUCACAUAUAGAUGGAUCCGUGCCGUAUUAGCUAGUUGGUAAGGUAACGGCUUACCAAGGCAACGAUACGUAGCCGACCUGAGAGGGUGAUCAGCCACACUGGAACUGAGACACGGUCCAGACUCCUACGGGAGGCAGCAGUAGGGAAUCUUCCGCAAUGGGCGAAAGCCUGACGGAGCAACGCCGCGUGAGUGAUGAAGGUCUUCGGGUCGUAAAACUCUGUUAUCAGGGAAGAACAGAUGUGUAAGUAACUGUGCACAUCUUGACGGUACCUGAUCAGAAAGCCACGGCUAACUACGUG
RNAcentral lists this ribosomal RNA (497 nucleotides) under uncultured bacterium. Its description in RNAcentral is "partial 16S ribosomal RNA". It matches the Rfam family "Bacterial small subunit ribosomal RNA", at positions 28 to 507 of the family's 1533-position model. The record is from RNAcentral.